RNAcentral lists this ribosomal RNA (119 nucleotides) under Petromyzon marinus (sea lamprey). Lineage: Eukaryota; Metazoa; Chordata; Hyperoartia; Petromyzontiformes; Petromyzontidae. The record is from RNAcentral.
GCCUACGUCACAUUCACCUGGAAUGCGCCCAAUCUCAUCAGACACUGGAAGCUGAGCAGGGUUGAGUCUGGAUAGUGCUUGGAUGGAUGAUCACCGCCAAGCACAGCAAGUGGUUGUUA